Molecule: ribosomal RNA, 253 nt
Filed under: uncultured bacterium
Lineage: Bacteria
Description: partial 16S ribosomal RNA
Rfam family: Bacterial small subunit ribosomal RNA
Source: RNAcentral
UACGAAGGUGGCAAGCGUUGUUCGGAUUUACUGGGCGUACAGGGAGCGUAGGCGGUUGGAUAAGCCCUCCGUGAAAUCUCCAGGCUUAGCCUGGAAAGUGCAGAGGGGACUGUUCAGCUAGAGGAUGGGAGAGGAGCGCGGAAUUCCCGGUGUAGCGGUGAAAUGCGUAGAGAUCGGGAGGAAGGCCGGUGGCGAAGGCGGGUCUCUGGACAGUUCCUGACACUGAGGCACGAAGGCCAGGGGAGCAAACGGG